CGGACGGGUGAGUAAUGCUUGGGAAUCUGGCUUAUGGAGGGGGAUAACUACGGGAAACUGUGGCUAAUACCGCAUAAUAUCGAAAGAUUAAAGGGUGGGACUUUCGGGCCACCUGCCAUGAGAUGAGCCCAAGUGGGAUUAGGUAGUUGGUUAGGUAAAGGCUGACCAAGCCGACGAUCUCUAGCUGGUCUGAGAGGAUGACCAGCCACACUGGAACUGAGACACGGUCCAG
This 232-nucleotide ribosomal RNA is filed under the name uncultured bacterium. RNAcentral's name for it is "partial 16S ribosomal RNA". It matches the Rfam family "Bacterial small subunit ribosomal RNA", at positions 99 to 334 of the family's 1533-position model. The record is from RNAcentral.